GCUGUGGCUCAAAGGAAGAGCAUCUGCUUAGCAUGCACAAGGCCCCAAGUUCAAUCCCUGGCCUCUCCA
This 69-nucleotide transfer RNA is filed under the name Sphaerodactylus townsendi. RNAcentral's name for it is "tRNA-Ala". It matches the Rfam family "tRNA". From Rfam's summary of the family: Transfer RNA (tRNA) molecules are approximately 80 nucleotides in length. Their secondary structure includes four short double-helical elements and three loops (D, anti-codon, and T loops). Lineage: Eukaryota; Metazoa; Chordata; Lepidosauria; Squamata; Sphaerodactylidae. The record is from RNAcentral.